Molecule: long non-coding RNA, 691 nt
Filed under: Bos mutus (wild yak)
Lineage: Eukaryota; Metazoa; Chordata; Mammalia; Artiodactyla; Bovidae
Description: lncRNA (ENSBMUG00000021846.1)
Source: RNAcentral
GCCCAGAAAACAGAAGACAACCUAUUCACAUUUCAAAGCAUAGUAGAUGAUGUAUUUGUUAUCAUUGAAAAUGCACAUUGAUAAGAGCCAUGAAGACUGGGAGCUUGAUCAGCAGUGUUUCCGUGCUUUCGAGGUCAACCUGAACCCCUGGGAGCCUGCCUUCUGUGACCGUCACACCAGCAGACAGCUGCACUGUCCACGCUGCUGUGAGGACUUCUAGGCUUCUCUUCUCCCUACUGCCUGGUAUCCUAGAACACCCAUCUAUACAUCUGACUCUCCUAGUCCCCAGGUGGCAGACACAAGUUGCCUCCAGCAAACCAGGUUAAAGAGGGCUUCUCAGAAGAUGGUCCUAGGAAGUCAUGCUACUACAUGAAUGAAAGUAAAAUUGGAUCCCCACCUACCACUACGUCCCAGGUAAACUCUAGAUUGAUUAAAGACCAGUAUCUGAAAGCUGAAACAAUGGGAUUAAUAGAAGUAAGUGUGGGUGAAUAUCUCAGUGACCUGGGGGAGUAGAGAACUUCUUAAACUAAACCUCAAAAGCAUGAAGGUCCUUGAAUACUUUUUCCUUACCUUGGUUUUCCAGUCCUCCCCGACUCUUAAUCUGCCUUUCUCAAUUGCCAAGAGAUCAUCUUUUGUUUAAAAGUAAAAGUAGUACAAUAAAACUUUCAACUCUCCCUUCCUGUGAAUAGUC